This 576-nucleotide ribosomal RNA is filed under the name uncultured bacterium. RNAcentral describes it as "bacterial SSU rRNA". It matches the Rfam family "Bacterial small subunit ribosomal RNA", at positions 102 to 694 of the family's 1533-position model. The record is from RNAcentral.
ACGGGUGAGUAACACGUAGGUGACCUACCUCGAAGUGUGGGAUAACAGUCCGAAAGGAUUGCUAAUACCGCAUGUGGUCUGUGAUAUUAGAAAUUGCAGACUAAAGCAGCAAUGUGCUUCGAGAGGGGCCUGCGCCCCAUCAGCUAGUUGGUAGGGUAAUGGCCUACCAAGGCUACAACGGGUAGGGGGCCUGAGAGGGUGACCCCCCACAUUGGCACUGACACACGGGCCAAACUCCUACGGGAGGCAGCAGUGAGGAAUAUUGCUCAAUGGGCGAAAGCCUGAAGCAGCAACGCCGCGUGCGCGAUGAAGGUCUUCGGAUCGUAAAGUGCUUUUGAGAGGGACGAGAUAGGACGGUACCUCUUGAAUAAGUCACGGCUAACUACGUGCCAGCAGCCGCGGUAAAACGUAGGUGGCAAGCGUUAUCCGGAUUCACUGGGCGUUAAGCGCGUGCAGGUGGCUUCGUAAGUUGGACGUUAAAUCUCUCGGCUUAACCGGGAGGUGUCGUUCAAUACUGCGGGGCUUGAGGGCAGAAGAGGGGGGUGGAAUUGCUGGUGUAGUGGUGAAAUGCGUAGA